ACGGAGGGUGCGAGCGUUAAUCGGAAUUACUGGGCGUAAAGCGUGCGUAGGUGGCAAUGUAAGUAGGAUGUGAAAGCCCCGGGCUUAACCUGGGAACUGCAUUCUAAACUGCAUAGCUAGAGUAUGGGAGAGGAAAGUGGAAUUCCAGGUGUAGCGGUGAAAUGCGUAGAUAUCUGGAGGAACAUCAAAGGCGAAGGCAGCUUUCUGGACCAAUACUGACACUGAGGUACGAAAGCGUGGGUAGCAAACAGG
RNAcentral lists this ribosomal RNA (252 nucleotides) under uncultured bacterium. RNAcentral's name for it is "partial 16S ribosomal RNA". It matches the Rfam family "Bacterial small subunit ribosomal RNA", at positions 525 to 776 of the family's 1533-position model. The record is from RNAcentral.